GACGAACCGUGCAAACGUUGUUCGGAAUCACUGGGCUUAAAGGGUGCGUAGGCGGCCAUGUAAGUGAGGUGUGAAAUCCCUCGGCUCAACCGAGGAACUGCGCUUCAUACUGCAUGGCUUGAGGGAGACAGGGGUAAGCGGAACUGAUGGUGGAGCGGUGAAAUGCGUUGAUAUCAUCAGGAACACCGGUGGCGAAAGCGGCUUACUGGGUCUCUUCUGACGCUGAGGUACGAAAGCUAGGGUAGCGAACGGG
Molecule: ribosomal RNA, 253 nt
Filed under: uncultured bacterium
Lineage: Bacteria
Description: partial 16S ribosomal RNA
Rfam family: Bacterial small subunit ribosomal RNA
Source: RNAcentral